UACGUAGGGGGCAAGCGUUGUCCGGAAUUAUUGGGCGUAAAGAGCGUGUAGGCGGUCCGGUAAGUCAGCUGUGAAAGUCAAGGGCUCAACCCUUGAAUGCCGGUUGAUACUGUCGGGCUAGAGUCUGGAAGAGGCGAGUGGAAUUCCCGGUGUAGCGGUGAAAUGCGCAGAUAUCGGGAGGAACACCAAUGGCGAAGGCAGCUCGCUGGGACGGUACUGACGCUGAGACGCGAAAGCGUGGGGAGCAAACAGG
This 253-nucleotide ribosomal RNA is filed under the name uncultured bacterium. Its description in RNAcentral is "partial 16S ribosomal RNA". It matches the Rfam family "Bacterial small subunit ribosomal RNA", at positions 524 to 776 of the family's 1533-position model. The record is from RNAcentral.